UAUAUUCCUUUUUAUCAAAAGAUAAAAAGGGAAAGAUUUAUUGGUAAGAGAUUAGCCUGUAUUGUAUCAGUUAGUUGGUGGGGUAAUGGCCUACCAAGACGAUGACGCAUAACUGGUUUGAGAGGAUGAUCAGUCACACUGGAACUGAGACACGGUCCAGACUCCUACGGGAGGCAGCAGUGGGGAAUAUUGCACAAUGGACGAAAGUCUGAUGCAGCAACGCCGCGUGGAGGAUGACACAUUUCGGUGCGUAAACUCCUUUUAUAUAAGAAGAUAAUGACGGUAUUAUAUGAAUAAGCACCGGCUAACUCCGUGCCAGCAGCCGCGGUAAUACGGAGGGUGCAAGCGUUACUCGGAAUCACUGGGCGUAAAGAGCGUGUAGGCGGAUUGAUAAGUUUGAAGUGAAAUCCUAUAGCUUAACUAUAGAACUGCUUUGAAAACUGUUAAUCUAGAAUGUGGGAGAGGUAGAUGGAAUUUCUGGUGUAGGGGUAAAAUCCGUAGAGAUCAGAAGGAAUACCGAUUGCGAAGGCGAUCUACUGGAACAAUAUUGACGCUGAGACGCGAAAGCGUGGGGAGCAAACAGGAUUAGAUACCCUGGUAGUCCACGCCCUAAACGAUGUACACUAGUUGUUGUGAGGCUCGACCUUGCAGUAAUGCAGUUAACACAUUAAGUGUACCGCCUGGGGAGUACGGUCGCAAGAUUAAAACUCAAAGGAAUAGACGGGGACCCGCACAAGCGGUGGAGCAUGUGGUUUAAUUCGACGAUACACGAAGAACCUUACCUGGACUUGACAUAGUAAGAAUGAUUUAGAGAUAGAUUAGUGUCUGCUUGCAGAAACUUGCAUACAGGUGCUGCACGGCUGUCGUCAGCUCGUGUCGUGAGAUGUUGGGUUAAGUCCCGCAACGAGCGCAACCCUCGUCCUUAGUUGCUAACAGUUCGGCUGAGAACUCUAAGGAGACUGCCUACGCAAGUAGGAGGAAGGUGAGGAUGACGUCAAGUCAUCAUGGCCCUUACGUCCAGGGCUACACACGUGCUACAAUGGGGUAUACAAAGAGCAGCAAUACGGUGACGUGGAGCAAAUCUCAAAAAUGCCUCCCAGUUCGGAUUGUAGUCUGCAACUCGACUACAUGAAGUUGGAAUCGCUAGUAAU
Molecule: ribosomal RNA, 1151 nt
Filed under: Aliarcobacter butzleri
Lineage: Bacteria; Pseudomonadati; Campylobacterota; Epsilonproteobacteria; Campylobacterales; Arcobacteraceae
Description: bacterial SSU rRNA
Rfam family: Bacterial small subunit ribosomal RNA
Source: RNAcentral